CACGUAGGGGGCAAGCGUUGUCCGGAUUCAUUGGGCGUAAAGAGCUCGUAGGCGGUUCGGUAAGUCGGGUGUGAAACCUCCAGGCUCAACCUGGAGACGCCACCCGAUACUGCUGUGACUAGAGUCCAGUAGGGGAGCGUGGAAUUCCUGGUGUAGCGGUGAAAUGCGCAGAUAUCAGGAGGAACACCAGUGGCGAAGGCGGCGCUCUGGGCUGGAACUGACGCUGAGGAGCGAAAGCGUGGGGAGCGAACAGG
This 254-nucleotide ribosomal RNA is filed under the name uncultured Iamia sp. RNAcentral's name for it is "partial 16S ribosomal RNA". It matches the Rfam family "Bacterial small subunit ribosomal RNA", at positions 524 to 776 of the family's 1533-position model. Lineage: Bacteria; Bacillati; Actinomycetota; Acidimicrobiia; Acidimicrobiales; Iamiaceae. The record is from RNAcentral.